UGUGAUUAUGAUCUUCAGGCUUUGCCUAACCAGGUGGGCUUACUUUUACUAUACGUAUAUAGAGAUCCCCUGCGUGUCGUAGGCCUCUUAUACGAAUAUAUGCAUGAGAUGAUUUUAACUGUUAAUUUCAGUUUAUUAUUAUGCCCAAAUGAUAAAUGACUCUUAUGAAAUAAAAAUGAAAUGUUUAUGAAAUGAAAUGAAAUGUUUAUGAAAUGAUUGACUGCCAAAAAUGUUUUAUGUUUUUUAUAUGUAUCCUAUCUGUGUUGGUUUCGCCAACUUUAAAGGAAAUCCAAUUGGGAUCCUAUGCUAGACAAAGGUCGCUAGCUAGGGUUAACGUGUACACUCAUGGAGACCGCGAGUCGCUUGCGACCGGUCUUGGCGUCCGUGGUAAGGAGGCCUCCUUCCCGGCGCGUGAUAGAAAGGAACAGAUAUGGAUCAUAUGAAGGAAAAUGAUCGGCCGAUCGACUUUAUGAAAAUGAAAGAAAUAUUUUAGUAAGCACAUGUCAUUUAAGAAAACCCAUGUGUGUUACUGUUAUGGCAGUUCAAUUUAUAUAUGUAUGCAUGAUUGUAUUUUCGGCUAUGCCCACUGAGUAUUUUUAUACUCAGCCCUGCAUGUAUUUCUAAAUGUGCAGGUUGAGCAGUUGAUGGAAUGGAAUGAUGUUGAGCGGGUGUUCCUUUGACAUUUCAAGAAAUGUAACCUUGAGUAUACAUCUUCAUAUGUAUAUCUCACACGUUUUCCGCUGCAAAACACUUUGAUUAGGAUAACUCUAUGUUAUGAAGUUGUGACACGUGUUAUUGGGUAACCCACCUUAAUCAGUUCUCCUUUAUGUGUAUGUGUUAUAAGUAUCCAAAUGAUCAUAUAUGAUCCUAGCUUUUUAUUUAUGAGUGACAUUUCCAUAUACUUUAAUGUUAAGUAAUUGUCCAUUUCCAUUUCUUAUUGUUCACCCCAAGUCAUAACCCCGGUUAA
Molecule: long non-coding RNA, 967 nt
Filed under: Salvia miltiorrhiza (redroot sage)
Lineage: Eukaryota; Viridiplantae; Streptophyta; Magnoliopsida; Lamiales; Lamiaceae
Description: long non-coding RNA (SMIL_LNC005825)
Source: RNAcentral